UAGCGAUCCGCCGGUGUGUAAUUACGCCCCGGCUGUGGGAGCUUCCCGGGAAACCAAAGUCUUCCGGUUCCGGGGGAAGUAUGGUUGCCAAGCUGAAACUUAAAGGAAUUGACGGAAGGGCACCCCCCGGAGUGGAGCCCGGCGCUUAAUUUGACUCCACCCGGGAAAACCCCCCCGGGCCGGACACCCGAAGGGUUGACAGAAUGGAAACUCUUUCCUAAUUCCGUGGGUGGGGGUGCCUGGCCCUUCCUAAUUGGGGGAACCAUUUGUCCGGGUAAUUCCCAAAACCAACCAAACUCUGGGCUAUUAAAUAAACCAAAUAUUUAAAAAUAUAUCCCGCUUCCUAAAAGGACCAGCCGCCUCCAACCCCCUGAAAUAAAACAAUAACCGGGCUGUGAUGCCCUUAAAUGUCCCGGGCUGCCCCCCCGCCACCCUGAAAGAAUCCAUGUGCCUUACCCCCAAUUCGGAAGAACCCGGUAACCCAAGUUAAUUCCUUCCUGGUUGGGAUAAGGAAUUGCCAUUAAUUCCCUUAAACCAAGAAUUCCCAGUAAAUGCCGGUCAUAAGCUCGCGUUGAAUACCUCCCUGCCCUUU
This 592-nucleotide ribosomal RNA is filed under the name uncultured eukaryote. RNAcentral describes it as "partial 18S ribosomal RNA". It matches the Rfam family "Eukaryotic small subunit ribosomal RNA", at positions 1047 to 1661 of the family's 1831-position model. The record is from RNAcentral.